This 523-nucleotide ribosomal RNA is filed under the name Escherichia coli. Its description in RNAcentral is "bacterial SSU rRNA". It matches the Rfam family "Bacterial small subunit ribosomal RNA", at positions 839 to 1362 of the family's 1533-position model. Lineage: Bacteria; Pseudomonadati; Pseudomonadota; Gammaproteobacteria; Enterobacterales; Enterobacteriaceae. The record is from RNAcentral.
GUGGCUUCCGGAGCUAACGCGUUAAGUCGACCGCCUGGGGAGUACGGCCGCAAGGUUAAAACUCAAAUGAAUUGACGGGGGCCCGCACAAGCGGUGGAGCAUGUGGUUUAAUUCGAUGCAACGCGAAGAACCUUACCUGGUCUUGACAUCCACGGAAGUUUUCAGAGAUGAGAAUGUGCCUUCGGGAACCGUGAGACAGGUGCUGCAUGGCUGUCGUCAGCUCGUGUUGUGAAAUGUUGGGUUAAGUCCCGCAACGAGCGCAACCCUUAUCCUUUGUUGCCAGCGGUCCGGCCGGGAACUCAAAGGAGACUGCCAGUGAUAAACUGGAGGAAGGUGGGGAUGACGUCAAGUCAUCAUGGCCCUUACGACCAGGGCUACACACGUGCUACAAUGGCGCAUACAAAGAGAAGCGACCUCGCGAGAGCAAGCGGACCUCAUAAAGUGCGUCGUAGUCCGGAUUGGAGUCUGCAACUCGACUCCAUGAAGUCGGAAUCGCUAGUAAUCGUGGAUCAGAAUGCCACGG